GACGAACGCUGGCGGCGUGCCUAAUACAUGCAAGUCGAACGCACUCUCGUUUAGAUUGAAGGAGCUUGCUCCUGAUUGAUAAACAUUUGAGUGAGUGGCGGACGGGUGAGUAACACGUGGGUAACCUGCCCUAAAGUGGGGGAUAACAUUUGGAAACAGAUGCUAAUACCGCAUAAAACCUAACACCGCAUGGUGUAGGGUUGAAAGAUGGUUUCGGCUAUCACUUUAGGAUGGACCCGCGGUGCAUUAGUUAGUUGGUGAGGUAAAGGCUCACCAAGACCGUGAUGCAUAGCCGACCUGAGAGGGUAAUCGGCCACACUGGGACUGAGACACGGCCCAGACUCCUACGGAGGCAGCAGUAGGGAAUCUUCCACAAUGGACGAAAGUCUGAUGGAGCAACGCCGCGUGAGUGAAGAAGGUUUCGGAUCGUAAAACUCUAGUUGUUGGAGUAAGAAUGUAUCUGAUAGUAACUGAUCAGGUAGUGACGGUAUCCAA
RNAcentral lists this ribosomal RNA (495 nucleotides) under uncultured bacterium. RNAcentral's name for it is "bacterial SSU rRNA". It matches the Rfam family "Bacterial small subunit ribosomal RNA", at positions 28 to 482 of the family's 1533-position model. The record is from RNAcentral.